Molecule: long non-coding RNA, 1324 nt
Filed under: Fukomys damarensis (Damara mole-rat)
Lineage: Eukaryota; Metazoa; Chordata; Mammalia; Rodentia; Bathyergidae
Description: lncRNA (ENSFDAG00000025969.1)
Source: RNAcentral
CAAAAAGAUGAGCAAGAAAAUGCGAAGCCAGGUAUACAAGAAGGACUUGAUAAAAGUUGUCCUUCAGUGCAUCUUUUUCACGUAUAACCACCACUUUGUCAGUUUCACCUGAUGACAAAUGAUGUUGAGUAUUGAGAAAACUGCAUGGGGUGUUUCGCCCAGGCCCUUCCUGCCUUCAGCGCGGGCCAGCCCCACCACAGCCGGGAGGGCAGCAUAUGCAACAACACACAAGGCCCGAGCUGAGAGUUACAUUCAGUGGAAGGAUGGGAACGGCUGCUGAGCAGGGCAGACUUGACGCCUAGCCACACAAAUUCCUGGACAAGGAGAUGACAUCUGGCGGUGAUCAGGGUUACAAGGACAAAAGGGAGGCAGGUGUGAGGCAAGGCUCUGGAGAAGCUAAUGUAAGUUGAAAGCUUGAGCAAUUAGGGCUUCAACAGCAGCUCAGGCAUCCCCAUCAGUCCUGCCCCCGGGGUUUAUAUUUCACAGCCUUCGUGGAGGGGUCAGCCUGUGACAGCAGGAUCCUUGGUCUCUUCUGGGUAAAGGAUGUUGCAGUCAUUCAUCAGAAGACUUUGGCAACUGGGUCACAUGGCAACUUCAUACCCUCUGCGUGGAAAGAGCUCAAGAAGCAGAUGGGAAGGUGAGUUGAAUCCACGAUGAGUUGCUUCAGUGCUCUCUGGGAUGUCUCAUUGGAUUUCUUCUCUUCCAGGGCCAAAUCCUCUGGGAUUAGAUCAAAACCACCUAUGACUAAGCAUCUGGCUGUUCAUCAACACCGGUGUGCAGGCCUCCCAGGGAGAUUCGCUGGAUGUCACUAAACAAUGUCACCUGUGUGCUGUGAGGCUAGAAGAAAAUUACAAUUCCCUUAUUCAAUAAGUAUUUGUUGAGUUCUAGGCAUGAUGCUCGAUUCUCAAGGCUGCAUGUUUUAAUGAAAUUCAGCCCUUGCCUGUAGGAAUCCAAGAAAGCCAAAGAAAUACAAGGAGAGCACAAUGGUAUCGAGUAGCAAUAAAAAGGAUUGGGCACUGUCUCCCCUCUCCUACAUCCUGCCCUCCUUUCUACCACAUCUGAACCUGAGGCACCAGAAAGGAAGUCCUCUGCAUCCAGAUGAUCAAAUGGUCAUGCAGCAGAGAGAGUCCUUGGACAUUCAACCACAACACCAUUUGGGGAGAAGUUCAGGAGAAAUUUCAGCAUUAAAAAAACAGUGAUUUCAACUUCCCAUAUCCACCAAAUGAGACCUUGGCUGGGUGACGUGAUUCUUUCAUUCGAAGUGGAUUCUUAGAAGAUCAGAAAUGACAUCAUUUAUAUAUAAAUAUAAAACAUACUGCAAACC